Perca flavescens (yellow perch) is the source of this 1189-nucleotide long non-coding RNA. RefSeq lists it as uncharacterized. NCBI's taxonomy places the organism in Eukaryota, Metazoa, Chordata, Actinopteri, Perciformes, Percidae. The record is from RefSeq and is a predicted model, not a curated record. The transcript is spliced from 3 exons.
AACCGCCAUUCAAAAACACAAGAAGAAGAAGAAGAAGAAGAAGAAGAAGAAGAGCUGUUCUUGGAGAGAAGAGCUGCGUUUUCUCCUGUUGUAAGAGUCGAAGAUAUCAGCAAGUCCAAGAAUGAUGUACCAGUACAGCCCAACUUGAAUAUAUUCCCAACCAUUUUGAUGGGGGGCAGAAGACGGAGCUUCAGGCCAAACUGUUUCCAAAGAGCCUGUCCACCCUCAGUGUCCUUCGGGACAGCAGCUGGAGGGACGGCUGCUACUAAUGGAUGGACUGGUGGACACCCCGCUGGCUCGGGUAACUCGCCACACCUCAACAUAAAGCUUUUUCUUUGGGGACGUUUUGACCAAAAAGUAACUGUAACCUUAAAUCUGCUUAAGUGCUGCAUACAAGAGUUCUCCAAAAGGGCCACAAGUGAACUGAUCUCUCAUGUCAUCCAUUGAAUUCUAUGCAGAAUUUCAUCGGGGAAGACCGAAUGUCCUUUUUUUUUUUUUUUUUUUUUUUUUUUUUCUGGAUUUGAGUGGAUGCAGAUCAGGUCUAAUUUUACCGACAGCUUGACGCUCCUGAGUUUGGUCCGUGCCAAGGGGGAGUUGUUCCCUGUUGCUCUUGUGCAAUAAACCACUGGCUGUAGGGUACCAGUAGUACUGACCUGCUAAAGAGGCUUGCCACUUUUUAUAUAAAUAAAGAGCCUCACUAUACCGUAUGUAUUUAUAUAUUUAUUUUAAAUACCUUUUUUUUUUUUUAACUAAUCAGGUGUUGUCAGCGCCAAAGAUGCUGCUAAAAUGAAUCCAUCCCUGUUGGUUUGGGCACAUUUGGUCUCAUUUUUACAAGGUCGACUGUAUGUAUCUGUGUACAAAGCUUACUAUUAAAUGGCUAUUUAUAUAAAUAUAUAUUGAUGCAAUAUUAUUGAAUCAAUUAUUGAUCUGUUCUUGUUGCACUUUGUGUAAAUCUCUGAACUUACUGAUGUUCUCAUCUUCUGUUAAUACUAAUGGUUGCACUUCCUUUUUAUUUGUGGGAAGAUUUCAGUUCUACACGGCAUAAUGUAGCACUGUUUCUUUGUAAUAGUUGGAUUGUGUUUUUAAAUGUCCGUCACUAUGGCACAUUUCACAAAAUCCUGAGCCUUUUGUUCCUGUGAUGAGCUGAAUGAGAGAAACAUUUUAAUAAAACCCACUGAAUCAAAUAUGA